This 1345-nucleotide ribosomal RNA is filed under the name uncultured bacterium. RNAcentral's name for it is "bacterial SSU rRNA". It matches the Rfam family "Bacterial small subunit ribosomal RNA", at positions 44 to 1387 of the family's 1533-position model. The record is from RNAcentral.
GUGCUUAACACAUGCAAGUCGAACGAAGCACUUUACCGGAUUUCUUCGGAAUGAAAGUUUUGUGACUGAGUGGCGGACGGGUGAGUAACGCGUGGGUAACCUGCCUCAUACGGGGGGAUAACAGUUAGAAAUGACUGCUAAUACCGCAUAAGACCACAGGACCGCAUGGUCCGGUGGUAAAAACUCCGGUGGUAUGAGAUGGACCCGCGUCUGAUUAGCUAGUUGGUAAGGUAACGGCUUACCAAGGCGACGAUCAGUAGCCGACCUGAGAGGGUGACCGGCCACAUUGGGACUGAGACACGGCCCAAACUCCUACGGGAGGCAGCAGUGGGGAAUAUUGCACAAUGGGGGAAACCCUGAUGCAGCGACGCCGCGUGAGCGAUGAUAGUAUUUCGGUAUGUAAAGCUCUAUCAGCAGGGAAGAAUUAGGACGGUACCUGACUAAGAAGCACCGGCUAAAUACGUGCCAGCAGCCGCGGUAAUACGUAUGGUGCAAGCGUUAUCCGGAUUUACUGGGUGUAAAGGGAGCGUAGACGGAGAGGCAAGUCUGUUGUGAAAACCCGGGGCUCAACCCCGUGACUGCAUCGGAAACUGUUUUUCUAGAGUGUCGGAGAGGUAAGUGGAAUUCUUACUGUAGCGGUGAAAUGAGUAGAUAUUAGGAGGAACACCAGCGGCGAAGGCGGCUUACUGGACGAUGAUUGACGUUGAGGCUUGAAAGCGUGGGGAGCAAAAAAGAUUAGAUGCCCUCGUAGUCCUCCCCGUAAUCGACCCCUAUUGGGUGUCGGGAGGGCAAAGCCUUUCGGUGCCGCAGCAAACGCAAUAAGCAGUCCACCUGGGGAGUACGUUCGCAAGAAUGAAACUCAAAGGAAUUGACGGGGACCCGCACAAGCGGUGGAGCAUGUGGUUUAAUUCGAAGCAACGCGAAGAACCUUACCUGCCCUUGACAUCCGGCUGACCGGCGAGUAAUGUCGCCUUUCCUUCGGGACAGCCGAGACAGGUGGUGCAUGGUUGUCGUCAGCUCGUGUCGUGAGAUGUUGGGUUAAGUCCCGCAACGAGCGCAACCCUUAUCUUUAGUAGCCAGCAUUUCGGAUGGGCACUCUAGAGAGACUGCCAGGGAUAACCUGGAGGAAGGUGGGGAUGACGUCAAAUCAUCAUGCCCCUUAUGGGCAGGGCUACACACGUGCUACAAUGGCGUAAACAAAGGGAGGCAAGCCUGCGAGGGUGAGCAAAUCCCAAAAAUAACGUCUCAGUUCGGAUUGUAGUCUGCAACUCGACUACAUGAAGCUGGAAUCGCUAGUAAUCGCGAAUCAGAAUGUCGCGGUGAAUACGUUCCCGGGUCUUGCACA